UCCCUGGUGGGCUAGUGGUUAAGAUUUGGCGCUUUCAUAGCUACAGCCCAGGUUCAGUCCCUGGUCUGGGAA
This 72-nucleotide transfer RNA is filed under the name Sus scrofa (pig). It matches the Rfam family "tRNA". From Rfam's summary of the family: Transfer RNA (tRNA) molecules are approximately 80 nucleotides in length. Their secondary structure includes four short double-helical elements and three loops (D, anti-codon, and T loops). Further hydrogen bonds mediate the characteristic L-shaped molecular structure. tRNAs have two regions of fundamental functional importance: the anti-codon, which is responsible for specific mRNA codon recognition, and the 3' end, to which the tRNAs corresponding amino acid is attached (by aminoacyl-tRNA synthetases). tRNAs cope with the degeneracy of the genetic code in two manners: having more than one tRNA (with a specific anti-codon) for a particular amino acid; and 'wobble' base-pairing, i.e. permitting non-standard base-pairing at the 3rd anti-codon position. Lineage: Eukaryota; Metazoa; Chordata; Mammalia; Artiodactyla; Suidae. The record is from Rfam by way of RNAcentral.